RNAcentral lists this non-coding RNA (29 nucleotides) under Rattus norvegicus (Norway rat). Lineage: Eukaryota; Metazoa; Chordata; Mammalia; Rodentia; Muridae. The record is from RNAcentral.
UCUGAAGAAACUUAUGUGUGGUUCACAGA